AAACCAGCACCUCAAGUGGUCAGGAGGAUUAUUGGGCCUAAAGCAUCCGUAGCCUGUUCUAUAAGUUUCCGGUUAAAUCCAUUAGCUCAACUAAUGGGCUGCCGAAAAUACUGUAGAACUAGGGAGUGGGAGAGGUAGACGGUAUUCGGUAGGAAGGGGUAAAAUCCUUUGAUCUAUUGAGGACCACCUGUGGCGAAGGCGGUCUACCAGAACACGUUCGACGGUGAGGGAUGAAAGCUGGGGGAGCAAACCGGAGUAGAAACCCCGGUAGUCC
This 274-nucleotide ribosomal RNA is filed under the name uncultured bacterium. Its description in RNAcentral is "partial 16S ribosomal RNA". It matches the Rfam family "Archaeal small subunit ribosomal RNA", at positions 473 to 747 of the family's 1478-position model. The record is from RNAcentral.